AGUGAACGCUGGCGGUAGGCCUAACACAUGCAAGUCGAACGGCAGCACAGUAAGAGCUUGCUCUUACGGGUGGCGAGUGGCGGACGGGUGAGGAAUACAUCGGAAUCUACUUUUUCGUGGGGGAUAACGUAGGGAAACUUACGCUAAUACCGCAUACGACUUACGGGUGAAAGCAGGGGAUCUUCGGACCUUGCGCGAUUGAAUGAGCCGAUGUCGGAUUAGCUAGUUGGCGGGGUAAAGGCCCACCAAGGCGACGAUCCGUAGCUGGUCUGAGAGGAUGAUCAGCCACACUGGAACUGAGACACGGUCCAGACUCCUACGGGAGGCAGCAGUGGGGAAUAUUGGACAAUGGGCGCAAGCCUGAUCCAGCCAUACCGCGUGGGUGAAGAAGGCCUUCGGGUUGUAAAGCCCUUUUGUUGGGAAAGAAAAGCAGCAGGCUAAUACCCCGCUGUUCUGACGGUACCCAAAGAAUAAGCACCGGCUAACUUCGUG
This 492-nucleotide ribosomal RNA is filed under the name uncultured bacterium. RNAcentral's name for it is "partial 16S ribosomal RNA". It matches the Rfam family "Bacterial small subunit ribosomal RNA", at positions 29 to 507 of the family's 1533-position model. The record is from RNAcentral.